CCUACGGGGCGCAGCAGUGGGGAAUAUUGGACAAUGGGCGAAAGCCCGAUCCAGCCAUGCCGCGUGUGUGAAGAAGGCCUUCGGGUUGUAAAGCACUUUCAGUGGGGAAGAAAGCCUUGGGGCUAAUACCCUCGAGGAAGGACAUCACCCACAGAAGAAGCACCGGCUAACUCCGUGCCAGCAGCCGCGGUAAUACGGAGGGUGCGAGCGUUAAUCGGAAUUACUGGGCGUAAAGCGCGCGUAGGCGGUCUGAUAAGCCGGUUGUGAAAGCCCCGGGCUCAACCUGGGAACGGCAUCCGGAACUGUCAGGCUAGAGUGCAGGAGAGGAAGGUAGAAUUCCCGGUGUAGCGGUGAAAUGCGUAGAGAUCGGGAGGAAUACCAGUGGCGAAGGCGGCCUUCUGGACUGACACUGACGCUGAGGUGCGAAAGCGUGGGUAGCAAACAGGAUUAGAUACCCGGGGUAGUC
This 466-nucleotide ribosomal RNA is filed under the name Vreelandella stevensii. RNAcentral's name for it is "partial 16S ribosomal RNA". It matches the Rfam family "Bacterial small subunit ribosomal RNA", at positions 338 to 795 of the family's 1533-position model. Lineage: Bacteria; Pseudomonadati; Pseudomonadota; Gammaproteobacteria; Oceanospirillales; Halomonadaceae. The record is from RNAcentral.